UUUGUACUCCCUCCGUCCCAAAAUUCUUGUCUUAAAUUUUUCUAAAUACGGAUGUAUCUAGUUACAUUUUAGUGUUAGAUACAUCCGUAUCUAAACAAAUGUAAGACAAGAAUUUUGGGACGGAGGGAGUACUAC
Non-coding RNA from Triticum aestivum (bread wheat), 135 nucleotides. NCBI's taxonomy places the organism in Eukaryota, Viridiplantae, Streptophyta, Magnoliopsida, Poales, Poaceae. The record is from Rfam.